Molecule: ribosomal RNA, 930 nt
Filed under: Atheta lippa group sp. HE-2010
Lineage: Eukaryota; Metazoa; Arthropoda; Insecta; Coleoptera; Staphylinidae
Description: SSU rRNA
Rfam family: Eukaryotic small subunit ribosomal RNA
Source: RNAcentral
AAUUACCCACUCCCAGCACGGGGAGGUAGUGACGAAAAAUAACGAUACGGGACUCAUCCGAGGCCCCGUAAUCGGAAUGAGUACAAUUUAAAACUUUUCCCGAGGAUCAAUUGGAGGGUAAGUCUGGUGCCAGCAGCCGCGGUAAUUCCAGCUCCAAUAGCGUAUAUUAAAGUUGUUGCGGUUAAAAAGCUCGUAGUCGAAUCUGUGUCCCGCGCCGCUGGUUCAUCGCUCGCGGUGUUCAACUGGCGUGUCUCGCGGGACGUCCUGCCGGUGGGCGCUCGUAUCGUUUCGGCGGUGCGUGGCCCAACUCGUAGCCGUCUCGCGCGGUUGCGAAUCCCAUCGCGGUGCUCUUUAUUGAGUGUCGAGGUGGGCCGGCACGUUUACUUUGAACAAAUUAGAGUGCUUAAAGCAGGCCAAUUUUGCCUGAAUAUUGUGUGCAUGGAAUAAUGAAAUAGGACCUCGGUUCUAUUUUGUUGGUUUUCGGAACCCCGAGGUAAUGAUUAAUAGGAACGGAUGGGGGCAUUCGUAUUGCGACGUUAGAGGUGAAAUUCUUGGAUCGUCGCAAGACGGACAGAAGCGAAAGCAUUUGCCAAAAACGCUUUCAUUGAUCAAGAACGAAAGUUAGAGGUUCGAAGGCGAUCAGAUACCGCCCUAGUUCUAACCAUAAACGAUGCCAGCUAGCGAUCCGCCGACGUUCCUCCGAUGACUCGGCGGGCAGCUUCCGGGAAACCAAAGCUUUUGGGUUCCGGGGGAAGUAUGGUUGCAAAGCUGAAACUUAAAGGAAUUGACGGAAGGGCACCACCAGGAGUGGAGCCUGCGGCUUAAUUUGACUCAACACGGGUAACCUCACCAGGCCCGGACACCGGAAGGAUUGACAGAUUGAUAGCUCUUUCUUGAUUCGGUGGGUGGUGGUGCAUGGCCGUUCUUAGU